UAGUGGAACUCAAUAUAAAAUAUUUGAUCCCAAUAUAAAUUUAGUGGAACUCAAUAUAAAAUAUUAAAUACAAUGCUAAACAUGAAGGUGGUAAAUAUAUGAAUAGUAAAAGUGGCAAUGAUAUAAUAAAUAUACAAAUUGUUAUUACAUAAUACAAGAAAGGCAAUAUUUUCAAGAGUGGCUGAUAUUUCAAGUGGCAAAAACUACCUCAAUUCAUUUGUAAAAUAAAACAA
This 233-nucleotide long non-coding RNA is filed under the name Trifolium pratense (red clover). Its description in RNAcentral is "long non-coding RNA (TPRA_LNC013062)". The record is from RNAcentral. Lineage: Eukaryota; Viridiplantae; Streptophyta; Magnoliopsida; Fabales; Fabaceae.